AAAUAUGUUCAAGAACACAUAACAUGUUCAAGAACACAUAACAUGUUCAAAUAACAAGUUCAAAUCAAAAUAAAUUAGCAAAAAGUCUUUUAAACUUUAACAAAACUACAAAAACAAUAAACAUCAAUCAACUCCCAAAUCCCAAUUACUCAUCAGCUGCAUGUUCUUGUUGAACUACUAUUGGCCUACCAAAUUCUACAUUAACAAAUCAAAACAACAUUUUAUUACCUCUAAUUUUAAUCUCGAACAAACUGAUAAAAGGAAUACAAAGUUUAUUCAACAGUAUUGUGCAUUAACAAAGCAUAUAGAUAAAAGGAUUAAGAAAUGGAGAAGAAUUGCUGAGAAUGCAAGUCUGGCUAAUGGGCAUCAUUUAUAGCAUCAUACAUAAUUUAUUUAUGCAAGUCUGCAAAUUCUUAUUGACGGGCCCCUUGGGAUCCUCUUGGCUAUUUUGGCUAUAGCUUUUUUUUAUCCUCUUGCAUUUACCCUAAAUUCGCCCCGCAGCCGAUUCCCGAAAACGCCCUGUUGACGGGCCCUUAGAGCCAACGAAUGAAUGGUACGCUAUAGCCAAAAUAGCUGGGAUUAAGAUAUGCCGGGCUUAUCAGAUUCAGUAAAAAUUCAAUGCAAUUUCUGAGAUUCUCACGAAUUUAUAUGGCCCCAAUGAUAACAAAAUAUUUUAGCUAUAGCUUUUUAAAUUCAUAAAACCUUGUUCUGCUGAGAGUUGUUGGUGACAGUGGCAGCAUCAGCAGAUGACAGCGGCUGCAGCACAUGGUAACAGCGGUGGAGACUCGGCGAUGAGCAGCAGUGACGGGCAGCAGCGACGGGUAGCAGCGACAAGCAGCAUCGACGAGCAGCGGCAGCGACGAGCAACGGGGACGAGAUUACAGCGCCUGAAGGUCACGAUUUCGGUUUCAGCUGAAGAUCAGAACUCAGAAGUGGUCACGAUUUAGGUUGAUGAUCAGAACUCAGAAGAAGUGGUCACGAUUUAGUUUAGAGUGUUUAGACUUUACUCACUUUAGGGAUUCCGGUUGUUAUUCGGUUUAUUUGAUAAUCGGUUCGGUUUUUUGGUUUUUUUCUUUAAAACCGAAAAUCGAACCGACUGGUUUUACUAUUAUUACUAUAUUACUUAUUCGGUUUUUUGGGUGUAAAAAAACCGCAAAAAAAUCGAACCGAACCGAACCGUUAGGUUCGGUUUUUAAUUAAUCAGCUUUUUUUGCCCACCCCUACAUAUAACACGUACAAUUUCUACAUUAUUGGACAUAAUUU
This 1263-nucleotide long non-coding RNA is filed under the name Citrus maxima (pomelo). RNAcentral's name for it is "long non-coding RNA (CMAX_LNC003508)". Lineage: Eukaryota; Viridiplantae; Streptophyta; Magnoliopsida; Sapindales; Rutaceae. The record is from RNAcentral.